This 360-nucleotide unclassified non-coding RNA is filed under the name soil metagenome. RNAcentral describes it as "partial contains 5.8S ribosomal RNA, internal transcribed spacer 2, and large subunit ribosomal RNA". The stretch from base 1 to 120 matches the Rfam family "5.8S ribosomal RNA", at positions 35 to 154 of the family's 154-position model. The record is from RNAcentral.
GAUGAAGAACGCAGCGAAAUGCGAUAAGUAAUGCGAAUUGCAGAAUUCAGUGAAUCAUCGAAUCUUUGAACGCACAUUGCGCCCGCCAGUAUUCUGGCGGGCAUGCCUGUCUGAGCGUCGUUUCGACCCUCGCGCCCGGCUUCUGUCGGGGGUGGUGUUGGGGAUCGGCCACACCCUUCAGUGGGAGGCCGGCCCCUAAAUUCAGUGGCGACCACGCUGUAGCCUCCCCUGCGUAGUACUAAAACCACCUCGCAGGCGGAGAGCGGUGCGGCCCGCCGUAAAACCCCCCAACUUUUACAAGGUCGACCUCAGAUCAGGUAGGAAUACCCGCUGAACUUAAGCAUAUCAAUAAGCGGAGGA